Molecule: ribosomal RNA, 173 nt
Filed under: Pseudomonas aeruginosa
Lineage: Bacteria; Pseudomonadati; Pseudomonadota; Gammaproteobacteria; Pseudomonadales; Pseudomonadaceae
Also listed under: 1 other name
Description: partial 23S ribosomal RNA
Rfam family: Bacterial large subunit ribosomal RNA
Source: RNAcentral
UGAAAGCAUCUAAGCGGGAAACUUGCCUCAAGAUGAGAUCUCACUGGGAACUUGAUUCCCCUGAAGGGCCGUCGAAGACUACGACGUUGAUAGGCUGGGUGUGUAAGCGUUGUGAGGCGUUGAGCUAACCAGUACUAAUUGCCCGUGAGGCUUGACCAUAUAACACCCAAACA